RNAcentral lists this ribosomal RNA (253 nucleotides) under uncultured bacterium. RNAcentral's name for it is "partial 16S ribosomal RNA". It matches the Rfam family "Bacterial small subunit ribosomal RNA", at positions 524 to 776 of the family's 1533-position model. The record is from RNAcentral.
UACGAAGGGUGCAAGCGUUACUCGGAAUUACUGGGCGUAAAGGGCGCGUAGGCGGCAUGACAAGUCACUUGUGAAAUCUCCGGGCUUAACUCGGAACGGUCAAGUGAUACUGUCGCGCUAGAGUGCGGAAGGGGCAAUCAGAAUUCUUGGUGUAGCGGUGAAAUGCGCAGAUAUCAGGAGGAACACCAAUGGCGAAGGCAGCUCGCUGGGACGUGACUGACGCUGAGACGCGAAAGCGUGGGGAGCAAACAGG